AGCCGCACGGGCCGUGGGAUCUGCCGGGCCGCGGCGCUCCGGGAGCGGUGUUGUUUCUAAUUAAUGCCUGUGUGGUAGCCUAAUCUGUGUUACCGGGCUCUCUGGAGUAUUGUCGCAACAAAGAUGAUACAGAAGCUGGAUUCAGUAUGGCUGAAUAAAUCUAGCCAUGGAGCUACACAUUGACUCUGGAGUUCACACUGCAUUGCAAAGCAUGAUUGCCUGUGACUGUGGAAGUUGAUUUGAAGUCCUAGGAAUUUAAUUUCUUGAUCAUCAACCUGUGUAGUCCUAAACCUUCAGUCUGAAGAAUGCACCAGAAGUACUUGUUUUGUUAUGUAGAGCUUUGAUUUUCUGUAUAGAAUAAUUUUGUGAAAAAGCUGGACAGAAUGACACGGUGUUAAGGGAUUGGAAGGGACCUUAAACAUCACCUGGUCCCAACCCCCUGCCAUGGACAGGACACCUUCCCCUAUACCAGGUUGCUCAAGGCCUUGUACAGCCUGGCCUUGGGCACUUCCAGGGAUGGGGACCUGUAACCUGUUCCAGUGUCUCACCAGCCUCACAGUGAAAAAGUUCUUCCUAAUUUCCAGUCCAUCUGUAACCAUCCUGUUCUAGCACUGCAGCCCUUGACAGAACAUCCUUCCUGCAGCCCCUUCAGACCCUGGAAGGUGCUGUGAGGUCUCCACACAGAAGAACCUUCUCUUGUCCAGGCUGAACAGCCCCAGCUUUCUCAGCUUGUCUUCACAGGGGGCAGGCCCCAGCCCUCUGGACGUGCUGCAACACUUCCAUGUCCUUGUGCUGGGAACACCAGAACUGGAUGCAGCACUGCCAGAGGGGUGUCACAAGAGCAGAGCAGUGGGGCACAAUCAUCUCCUAUGACCUUCUGGCCACGCUCCUCUGGAUGCAGCUCAGGAUUCCCUUGGCUUUCUGGGCUCUGAGCACUCACUAGUGGCUCAUGCUGAAUUUUUGAUCAACCAUCAGCCCCAAGACAGAAUAAUUUCUGAAGAUGCUGAUGUUCUCAGGGACAACCUGCUUGCCUUUCCAUGACUUGCAAAUGCUGAUUCUCUUAAAGAUUUGAUGACUCUUUUAAUGUGGGCAAAAGCAAGCAAACAAACCCCCUGAUGGUGUAGAACAGUGCAGUUAGCAGAACAGCCUUGUAAUGUUGUGGGACUUCUCAUUGUCUCCUUACUUGAAAAAUCUAAAUAUUGGUGUACAAGGCUGUAGUCAACUAUGUUUGUUGAAUAAAUUUAGUUGUCACAAGCUGCAUUUCAUCCUUUGCAGGGCAAUACUGAAAGCAGUAAUUUUAGGACCAAAGCUCACUGGCUCACUCUGCUUUUAGUAGGGCAGCUGCAAUUAAAAUAUAGGAAGCUUUUAAUAAGAAUUAAUUUGGGAGGGGACACACACACUGUACAUUCCCAUUUAUUGGUGAGAUUUAUGCUUCUGCAUUCUAUGCAAAUAAUAGGUCUUAGCUUUUCUGUUUACAUGCUGUUAAUCCAGCCUGUAGCUUAAAACUCUUCUUUUUAAUAGCUCCAUUAAGAAAUUAAGGGAGGACUUAUUUGGGCAAGGAAAUCCAAAAUUAAUCUUGCAUGGGU
Long non-coding RNA from Serinus canaria (Common canary), 1586 nucleotides. RefSeq lists it as uncharacterized. The record is from RefSeq and is a predicted model, not a curated record. NCBI's taxonomy places the organism in Eukaryota, Metazoa, Chordata, Aves, Passeriformes, Fringillidae. The transcript has 3 exons.